This 72-nucleotide transfer RNA is filed under the name Bos taurus (domestic cattle). It matches the Rfam family "tRNA". Rfam says of the family: Transfer RNA (tRNA) molecules are approximately 80 nucleotides in length. Their secondary structure includes four short double-helical elements and three loops (D, anti-codon, and T loops). Further hydrogen bonds mediate the characteristic L-shaped molecular structure. tRNAs have two regions of fundamental functional importance: the anti-codon, which is responsible for specific mRNA codon recognition, and the 3' end, to which the tRNAs corresponding amino acid is attached (by aminoacyl-tRNA synthetases). tRNAs cope with the degeneracy of the genetic code in two manners: having more than one tRNA (with a specific anti-codon) for a particular amino acid; and 'wobble' base-pairing, i.e. permitting non-standard base-pairing at the 3rd anti-codon position. RNAcentral also lists the same sequence under 5 other names. Lineage: Eukaryota; Metazoa; Chordata; Mammalia; Artiodactyla; Bovidae. The record is from Rfam by way of RNAcentral.
UCUCUGGUGGCUUAGGUGGCAAAGAAUCUGCCUGCAAUGCAGGAGACCCAGGUUCAAUGCCUGGGUUGGGAA